CUGUGCGCAGUCGUGGGGCAAGGUUGCGAAGCCCUCUUCCACGGCGCAGUGAAAGCGAGAGGAGCAGUAUCCCUGUUCCGCAGCCCGCGCGAUCCCUGCCGAGCGCGUCGCGUCACACCGGCGCGCGGAGCGGGGCGCAGCGCGGACCCGCGCCAGCCGCUUAAUAUGCCGGCGGCGCGGAGUUGGAGCGUACACGUUGGGACCCGAAAGAUGGUGAUCUAUGCCAGGGCAGGGCGAAGCCAGAGGAAACUCUGGUGGAAGCCCGCCGCGAUUCUGACGUGCAAAUCGAUCGUCGGACCUUGGCAUAGGGGCGAAAGACUAAUCGAACCAUCUAGUAGCUGGUUCCCUCCGAAGUUUCCCUCAGGAUAGCUGGUGCGCGUGGAUAGCAGUCGCAUCCAGUCGAGCGAAUGAUUAGAGGCCUUGGGAUCGAAACGAUCUCAACCUAUUCUCAAACUCACAACGGGUGCGUAGACCGGUUUGCUUGAAUGAAACCCGGUCGUGACUUGAAGAUGCUGCGUACCCAGUGGGCCCGUUUUGGUAAGCAGAACUGGCGAUGCGGGAUGAACCGAACGUCCGGUUAGGGCACCGCAGCACGGACGCUCAUGGGAUCCCACGAAAGGUGUUGGUUGCUUUAGACAGCAGGACGGUGGCCAUGGAAGUUGGAAUCCGCUAAGGAGUGUGUAACAA
This 687-nucleotide ribosomal RNA is filed under the name Scutigerella sp. SY0202004. RNAcentral's name for it is "eukaryotic LSU rRNA". It matches the Rfam family "Eukaryotic large subunit ribosomal RNA", at positions 680 to 1288 of the family's 3401-position model. The record is from RNAcentral. Lineage: Eukaryota; Metazoa; Arthropoda; Symphyla; Scutigerellidae.